GAAAAUGAUGAUAGGUAUCCUGCACAAGCACGAAGCAGAGGACGAUAAACUGAUGAAGACGAAGUCCCAACAAUCUGGGACAGAGCUUUCUGUACAAAAGGUUGUUUCCACAGAGAUAAAUCUUCAUCAAUUGGGUCACUACUGUUGAUACUAGGACGAAGUGCUGGAAGCAAUGCUUGAACUAGGGGCAAUGCCAACCAAAAAUCAGAAGCAUUAUCAGCCAACUUGCUGCAGAGCAGGGGCUGGGAUACACAAGCAUACAGAACAUGUAAAAUCCCUUCUUCCACUAGGCCAAUAUCUAAGACAUUACUGAA
RNAcentral lists this unclassified non-coding RNA (314 nucleotides) under Hevea brasiliensis (rubber tree). Lineage: Eukaryota; Viridiplantae; Streptophyta; Magnoliopsida; Malpighiales; Euphorbiaceae. The record is from RNAcentral.